GCCCGGCUAGCUCAAUCGGUAGAGCGUGAGACUCUUAUAUACCAUGGGUACUCUGCCCUCCAAAAUGUACAGACCAUCUCAAGGUUGUGGGUUCGACCCCCACGUCGGGCU
This is a non-coding RNA of Schizothecium vesticola, 111 nucleotides long. The record is from the annotation of a GenBank genome assembly. NCBI's taxonomy places the organism in Eukaryota, Fungi, Ascomycota, Sordariomycetes, Sordariales, Schizotheciaceae.